GACGAACGCUGGCGGCGUGCUUAACACAUGCAAGUCGAACGGAAAGGCCCUGCUUGCAGGGUGCUCGAGUGGCGAACGGGUGGGUAACUCGUGGGUGAUCUGUCCUGCACUUCGGGAGAGGCCUGGUAAACUGGGUCUAGUUCAGGAUAGGUGCCAUCUUUAGUGAGAUGGUUGGAAAGUUUUUUCGGUGUAGGCUGAGCUCGCGGCCUAUCCGCUUGUUGGUUGGGUAGUGGCCGACCAAGACGGCGACCGGUAGCCGGCCUGAGAGGGUGGACGGCCACAAUGGGACUGAGAGACGGCCCAGACGCCUACGGGAGGCAGCAGUGGGGAAUAUUGCACAAUGGGCGCAAGCCUGAUGCAGCGACGCCGCGUGGGGGAUGACGGCCUUCGGGUUGAAAACUCCUUUCGCUAGGGACGAAGCUUUUUGUGACGGUACCUAGAGAAGAAGCACCGGCUAACUACGUG
Molecule: ribosomal RNA, 465 nt
Filed under: uncultured bacterium
Lineage: Bacteria
Description: partial 16S ribosomal RNA
Rfam family: Bacterial small subunit ribosomal RNA
Source: RNAcentral